Long non-coding RNA from Gambusia affinis (western mosquitofish), 151 nucleotides. RefSeq lists it as uncharacterized. The transcript has 3 exons. NCBI's taxonomy places the organism in Eukaryota, Metazoa, Chordata, Actinopteri, Cyprinodontiformes, Poeciliidae. The record is from RefSeq and is a predicted model, not a curated record.
GUGGAAACAUGCAGAUCCUGUUCAACCAACCCUCCAGAGAUUUCCAAAAAGGAACCGUAUCAGGCUGGUGACGUGGAUGCAUGGGGAUCCUUUUUAACCAACCCUCCUGAGCACAAAGUAAACACAGAUGGUAAGGGGAAAGAGCUCAACA